This 253-nucleotide ribosomal RNA is filed under the name uncultured bacterium. RNAcentral describes it as "partial 16S ribosomal RNA". It matches the Rfam family "Bacterial small subunit ribosomal RNA", at positions 524 to 776 of the family's 1533-position model. The record is from RNAcentral.
UACAGAGGGGGCAAGCGUUGUCCGGACUGACUGGGCGUAAAGCGCGCGCAGGCGGUCGCGGGCGUCGGUGCUGAAAGGGCGCCGCUUAACGGCGCGAAGGGUGCCGAUACGCCGCGACUGGAGCGAUGGCGAGGGUGGUGGAAUUGCCGGUGUAGUGGUGAAAUGCGUAGAGAUCGGCAGGAACACCCGUGGCGCAAGCGGCCACCUAGCCGUUGGCUGACGCUGAGGCGCGACAGCGAGGGGAGCGAACCGG